Molecule: long non-coding RNA, 2408 nt
Organism: Episyrphus balteatus (marmalade hoverfly)
Lineage: Eukaryota; Metazoa; Arthropoda; Insecta; Diptera; Syrphidae
Exons: 2
Source: RefSeq, a predicted model, not a curated record
CCAAAUAUUUUUUUUGUUUUUGUCAAAAAUGUUGAAAAAAAAAAUUCUCGCUAUUGCUUUUAAAUGUUUAUAAAAUCACUUACUGUUAAUGUUAACAAAUUACUACUAAAACAAAUGGGAAAUAGUUCAAGGCAAGGUUAUAGCUGAAAUCUGACGAAUUGAAUAUAAGCCCCUUUAAGUAAAGAGUCAUAUAUGUGCUUUUUUAAUAAUUUUAUUUAAACGAUUUAAUGGUAAUUCUUUUUUGAAGCAAUUGAUGUAAUAUGACAUUUAUGCUACAGUGAAAUUACAAUUUGCUAUAAUAAUAAAUCCUAAACUUACUAUUUACUUUUUGGUAACCUCUAGCUUUUGAAUUUAUAAUUUUUACAUACAGCUAGGGAGAUUGUGAAUUUAUUACUUGGUGAGAACAUUAUUUCAGAACUACAUACUUUGAGAAGGUUUCAGAAAGCGCAUUAAAAAACUUAUAUUCUGAGUAUAUAUUGUGAACAGAUGGCUCUUAACUUUGUUAAACCAUAUUUUUGGAAUAAGGAAUGAAAGAUCUAUUUUAUAUGAAUCGGUUACAUCAAAUAAGUGAAAUCUGCUAUUUCCGAUUGUGCUAGUUAUGUGUUCGGAAUGUCACUUGGUAGUUACGAUUUGCAUUGGCAGCAAAGUUUGGAUGUUAAAUGUUCGCUAAGAUUGUAUAAAAAUAGGUUACAAAGUUUAAGAAGAACUAUUUUAAAAGUGUUUUUUCUUAUUUCAAAGUAACGAAUCAAUUAGUUAUUUUUGUACUGCAAUCAACCUGGAAGUUUAUUUGGUUCAAAUUACAAACAAUACUUUUGCAAGGUAAGUAGAAGAACCCAAUUUUUGUUAGAUUGAAUAUUUAAAGAUAUUUGUUUUUGUAUUUUUAACAGCAAACCCGGAACAAAAAAGUGAAGAUUAUUAUAAAAUUACUAAAAAAACCUUUGUUUUUAUAUAAUCUGUUAAAAAAGAUUCAGGUGAUAAAUUGCAUUCAAAAAGUUCCAUAGUAAAUUAUAAUAAAAAUGCAUAUCAUACAAAAUGGGGUAGUAAUUUUGGCCAUAGCAGAAAGGUAAGUAUGUAUAACUGCACCUGUUUUGUCUAUAUAUAAAAUAAAUUUCUUUUUAACCAUCUCAGGAACUCAGUUUUCUUUGUUUCAAAGAAAUUGUGAGAAACUGGGUUUUGCAUUAUGUGCUAUCAGUAGAAUCUCGCUGAACUUAAAUCAUUUAAAAGAUAUUUGUUGCACUUUUUGUUUAAAUUUUCAUUUGUUCUUAUAAACUUAUAUUAUUUCGUUUAUCCACUUCAAGUCCAUCGAAUAGUUACCAAAAUUUAUUUUCAUCUAAAUUCCCAUCGAAAUAAAAUUGCUUUACUUGAAUAUGCAAUUUACCUGACAUUAAUGGAACUUUAAUCGGCAUUUCACGAUUUUUGUUUAUUUUUUUUUUUUUUGCUCUUCCAAAAAAAGAUGAACCUGGUAUACAUCGGCAUAUAAACUUGUGUAGAUACACACAACACAAAUAAAACAGAGACAGCAAGAUAAAGUAUAGAGUUCGACAAAACAAAAUGAUGGACCAUGGAAAAAAAAUCUUUCUUUCUACCUCCAAAAGCAAUUAUCUUUUUUUCACGAAUUUUUGUUUAAAUAAUUUAGUUUCAUUAUCAACUUUAUAAUAAAACACCAAAGAUUAAUGUUUUCAUUCACUUUUGUACCUGGGUAUUUUUUUAAAUUUUAUCUUGUAGGUAUGCAUUGGGAAUUAAAAAGAUUAUCACGCACCACUCCCACUUUUUUUUUCUUGCAAUUUAUAUUUAUAAACAAAUAAUAAAGAAAAAAAUAUUAAUCAAAAUUGAAUACUAACCCCGUUUACGCGGCCCUUGUGUUUGUUGUAUGAAGUUCAGUGUCGUUAUUGCAAAUGGAAGAGCAGCACCAAGCAGCACAACGAUGCAAAAACAAUGAAAUAAAGAAAAAUAAACAAAAAGAAAAAAAAACAAGAUUAAAUGAAAGUAAUUUAGUUGCUCUCUUUAAUGAUGAUGAUGAUGAGAGUUAUUAAAAAAAAAAACAAAAUUCGCAUCAUAAUUUAUGUUUGGGUUGAUGAGUUUUAGCAGGUAGUACACCACCGUACUCUGGGCGAACUAGAAAUGUCAAUACGAUAAAAGAGAUGUGUCUGUCCAUCUCGUCGUCGUCGCAAUCAACACAACACGGCACAGGCACACAAAUUGAGUAACCUAAUGGAUUCUCAAUCAAACUUUGAAAAUAAUGGCCAUCCUCAUCAUCAUCAUCAUUAUUCUUCUUCUUUUUUUCUCUUCAUCUCAUAUAAACGAGAAACGUCGUCGUCGCUGAUGACGACCCAACAAAACUUACAUCCAUGACCAAUCAACAGCCAGGGUGAUUUUCGUUCGUCGAUGACUUCCAAGUCUUUUUUGUG